GAAUGUUGUUGGGGGAGGGGGGAGCGAUACUAAGAACCGACCGAUUCAAAGGGCGGUUUCCCUCCAACAAUUCCGACCGGCUUCAAUGUCUAAACACUGGAAUCCAGGAAGAAUUAGAAAGAAGGAGGUGGGGUGGGAGGUACGGAAGAAAGCCCCGAAGCUCUCCUGCCUUAACGUUCUGCGUAGGGCUAAACCUUCCCUCUCCGCUCCUCUUUACCCGACUCUGCCUCACUCCCUCACGUCGGACCCUUUCCCCAUUCGGCCUCAGGCUGGAUGACCCUGUCGGAGACAAUGGGAAAAACUAGAGAGAAAAUUCUACAGGACGCUGUUCAGCCCCGGUGGGGGUUUCCCUCAAGUCUCUGUAAUUUCUUGCAGGUUCCCAUAAAGCCGUGUUAUUGCAUCUUACGUAAUCCUGAAACUGUUCUCACCUACCCAUGAUGCUUGAGCCUUGAGCCUUGUGUUUGUAUGUCGGAGCAGAAUUAUGACGGCGUAAGAGUUGCUCUUUUUUCUUUCAGAGACGGCUCUCACACAGUAAGUCUGAUCACUGGGGUCAGGAGAUGGAGUUCAAGAAAAAUCCCAACUUGAACAUGAAUUCCACAAGUCACUCUGGGCCUUGGUUUCCUCAUCAGUAAAAUGUUUAAGCAGGAUCAUUUCUAAAUUCCUUUUUCUAGUUCUUCGGCUCUAAAACGAAGGGUGUUGGACUAGAUGAUCCCUGAAGACCUGAUUUCCAGAUUUUGGAUUCUGAUCUAAGAUAUAACAUUAUUAAAAAAGAAAACCACCUCUCUGUCCACCUCGACACACUAUUCAUACCUCCAAGGAGUAAUUUUGACCGUCUAGAUUUCUCCAGCCUAAAGAGCAGAACAAAGAAGCCCCAAUGUCACCAAUACCGAGGACAACCACACCUCAAGGUCCCCCCCUCUGCAAUGUCAACUCCCUUGGAAGCAAAUAUACACUUUUCGAAAUGUUAUAAAGGAAUUGGACUCAUUCAUCUGUAACCCCAAACCCCUGGGGCCUAAUUUCAGUGUUCUUACUAAAUUCAGAUCACCAGCUUCAGUGACAAUAAGCUUCCAUUCGCACAGCCCUGUUCUUCCUGAAAAGAAACAAGAUGUCCUGGAAGUUGCAAGCUAAAAAUACUACUAGCCUUUCAAAGCUGGUUUACAAAAAAAAAUGAAAAAGAGGAUUAUAGGCAACUCUAGAAGAAUGAAGAAUAACAGGUGGGAAUCAAAGAGAAGAAGAUUUUGGUUUAAUACAAAGAAAAAAGAAAAGAGCUCCUGGAAUGGAUUCCCUCUCAUUGGAUGCCUUUGAGCCAAGAUAUAAAUGCUCACCCUGAAAACUUAACCAUCAGCUUACCCCAGUUCCAGCAUACCCCUGGAUGGAGAUGUCACAAAAUCAAACCGAACAUGUGAUUUCAGAAGUCUCCAAAGAACAGGAGUCAUUGCUACAGGAGAUGAUGAAGCAGAGAAGUGAAAGAUAAGGAGACCACCAGGGCAAAACAUUUGUGUGAAGCUUUUGCCAAAACCACAAGUGAGGCAUCUGAAUUCCCUGGGUACACGACAGCUCAUAGGGGAAAAAAAAAAGGGGAAAGCUACCAGCAGCAGGCAGCCAAUCAAAACGCCAGCGGCUGUAAUGAGCGGGAUUGAUGACUGUUUGGCUUUACUGCAGGGUAAUGAACUAGAAUCCAGUCUGAGGAGAAGAAAUAUGAAUAUUCAUGAAGCUGUGCUCCUGCCUUUGAUGAUUAAAGAAAUUUUUAAUAUUCAAAUAAGCGUUUGCCAAGUGAUUAACAAAGAACAAGCACGCAGAAAUAUGGAAAUGGAGCUGGGGAAGAUUUGAGAGUCACACAGUCUGUGCAGGGAAAAACUGCACAAAAUUUCAUAAACAAGAUAGGCAGAUAACCCAAUUCAAAUUCGAGAAAAUAAAAACAUUUCUUUCUAA
Non-coding RNA from Monodelphis domestica (gray short-tailed opossum), 1932 nucleotides. Lineage: Eukaryota; Metazoa; Chordata; Mammalia; Didelphimorphia; Didelphidae. The record is from RefSeq and is a predicted model, not a curated record.